GAAAAAUAAAAAUAUUAUUUAUUUUAGAACAAAUUUUUUAUUUUUGUAAAAUGACAUUCAUUAUGAGAUGAAUGAAGUAUUACAUAUUUAUUGACACAUUUCUGAAACAUAUCCCACAAAUCAAACAUAUGUCUCAAGCUUUUUUUAUUUUUUAUUUUGACACACUUUGGACACUUCUCAUACACAUCUAGACUAAUACUAGACAUCUUUUUAAAAUGGCUUUUAAAAAGUAAUAUAUUAACAUUUGAAAAAUUCUUGCAUAUGCGCAUCUUUUCAAAUAAUACACUCAACUAUGACAACCAUUUCUAACUUCAAGAUAGGUAGAACAUGGUCCAUGUGUACUAGCAGGAACAGGACUGAGCAACACAUGUCUGUCUCUAUCUUAUUUUUUGGGUCAAGUCGUCUCUUUGUCUAAGCAUGCAUAUGACUAUGAAGUUCACCUCUUAAUUGUGGAUUGUUUUGGAGACUUUUCAAAUCUGAAUUUUCAAAUGUAUACAGUUGGAGACUUUUCUUUUGUCGGUACACUUUAAAUUAAUACGUGUACAUGUACAGUAGAAAUCCUCAAAUAAUUAAUAUUGCAACAAUGUUGUUUUUGCUUAA
This is a non-coding RNA of Cicer arietinum (chickpea), 600 nucleotides long. The record is from RefSeq and is a predicted model, not a curated record. NCBI's taxonomy places the organism in Eukaryota, Viridiplantae, Streptophyta, Magnoliopsida, Fabales, Fabaceae.